AACGAACGCUGGCGGCAUGCCUAACACAUGCGAGUCGAACGAGACCUUCGGGUCUAGUGGCGCACGGGUGCGUAACGCGUGGGAACCUGCCUUUAGGUUCGGAAUAACUCAGAGAAAAUUGAGCUAAUACCGGAUGAUGUCUUCGGACCAAAGAUUUAUCGCCUUUAGAUGGGCCCGCGUUGGAUUAGCUAGUUGGUGGGGUAAAGGCCUACCAAGGCGACGAUCCAUAGCUGGUCUGAGAGGAUGAUCAGCCACACUGGGACUGAGACACGGCCCAGACUCCUACGGGAGGCAGCAGUGGGGAAUAUUGGACAAUGGGCGAAAGCCUGAUCCAGCAAUGCCGCGUGAGUGAUGAAGGCCUUAGGGUUGUAAAGCUCUUUUACCCGAGAUGAUAAUGACAGUAUCGGGAGAAUAAGCUCCGGCUAACUCCGUG
Molecule: ribosomal RNA, 433 nt
Filed under: uncultured bacterium
Lineage: Bacteria
Description: partial 16S ribosomal RNA
Rfam family: Bacterial small subunit ribosomal RNA
Source: RNAcentral